This 898-nucleotide ribosomal RNA is filed under the name uncultured bacterium. RNAcentral's name for it is "bacterial SSU rRNA". It matches the Rfam family "Bacterial small subunit ribosomal RNA", at positions 33 to 927 of the family's 1533-position model. The record is from RNAcentral.
ACGCUGGCGGCGUGCUUAACACAUGCAAGUCGAACGCUGAAGCUCAGCUUGCUGGGUGGAUGAGUGGCGAACGGGUGAGUAACACGUGAGUAACCUGCCCUCUUCUUUGGGAUAACGCCCGGAAACGGGUGCUAAUACUGGAUAUUCACUGAUCUUCGCAUGGGGGUUGGUGGAAAGGUUUUUUCUGGUGGGGGAUGGGCUCGCGGCCUAUCAGCUUGUUGGUGGGGUGAUGGCCUACCAAGGCUUUGACGGGUAGCCGGCCUGAGAGGGUGACCGGUCACAUUGGGACUGAGAUACGGCCCAGACUCCUACGGGAGGCAGCAGUGGGGAAUAUUGCACAAUGGGCGAAAGCCUGAUGCAGCGACGCCGCGUGAGGGAUGGAGGCCUUCGGGUUGUAAACCUCUUUCGCUCAUGGUCAAGCCGCAGCUUUGGGUUGUGGUGAGGGUAGUGGGUAAAGAAGCGCCGGCUAACUACGUGCCAGCAGCCGCGGUAAUACGUAGGGCGCGAGCGUUGUCCGGAAUUAUUGGGCGUAAAGGGCUUGUAGGCGGUUGGUCGCGUCUGCCGUGAAAUCCUCUGGCUUAACUGGGGGCGUGCGGUGGGUACGGGCUGACUUGAGUGCGGUAGGGGAGACUGGAACUCCUGGUGUAGCGGUGGAAUGCGCAGAUAUCAGGAAGAACACCGGUGGCGAAGGCGGGUCUCUGGGCCGUUACUGACGCUGAGGAGCGAAAGCGUGGGGAGCGAACAGGAUUAGAUACCCUGGUAGUCCACGCCGUAAACGUUGGGCACUAGGUGUGGGGGCCACCCGUGGUUUCUGCGCCGUAGCUAACGCUUUAAGUGCCCCGCCUGGGGAGUACGGCCGGUAGGCUAAAACUCAAAGGAAUUGACGGGGGCCCGCACA